Molecule: non-coding RNA, 100 nt
Organism: Acanthosepion pharaonis
Lineage: Eukaryota; Metazoa; Mollusca; Cephalopoda; Sepiida; Sepiidae
Source: the annotation of a GenBank genome assembly
CAUUCAAACACCAGUUCUCAUAUGAUCACUGAAGUUAAGCAGUGUCAAGCCUGGUCAGUACCUAGAUGGGUGAAUAUUUGGGAAUACCAGAUGCUGUAAG